AUUAAUACCCAAUUGGAAACCUUGCGUUCGCAUUGAGCAUCUAGUUCCUCGAAAUAAAAUAGUAAACUCUAGGGGAAGCCAAAAGAACUAUCAUUCAUUAGAAAAUGGGGAGAAUGUUGUAGGUUUUUUGCAAAAUGGUUCUGAAACCGUCAAUUUUUUUAGGACUUCAAGUUGCCUUGACUCUUGUUCUCUAGGAGGGUCAGUUCCAACUACAGAAACAGAUGAAAUUUCAAGUGUUAUGAAACUUAAUGAGAUGGUAUCCCAUGUUGAUGAGUUUAGUAACCAGAGUGCAACAGGAGCCGAUGAUCGGUAUUCUGAGAUGUCAUAUGUUUCUGCCGCUUCUAGUGAUUGGAAUGAUAAAAAGUUAUCUUUCAAUUCAAACUUAUCCACAGACUCGGCGCUCACAGAUUUUGAUGGGCAUGGAUUAAAAGGUGCACUGGGUGAGGUUUUUGGCAGGAUGGAAAUUACAUUACCCGAUGACAAUAGCAAAUUCAUGGACAUUAACAGCACCCAUAUGGAAAUCUCUUCUAGUUAUCCAACGAGUAUUUCCUCAUUGCAUAAGAAUGAUGAUGAAGAUUUGAGAAGGGAGCUGGAAAAGAUAGAGGCGCAAUAUCAUGAGGAAAUUAAAGCCAUAUCAAAAAAAAGGCAUGAAGCUAUCUUGGAGACAACA
Molecule: unclassified non-coding RNA, 670 nt
Filed under: Hevea brasiliensis (rubber tree)
Lineage: Eukaryota; Viridiplantae; Streptophyta; Magnoliopsida; Malpighiales; Euphorbiaceae
Source: RNAcentral